Molecule: non-coding RNA, 182 nt
Filed under: Verrucomicrobiota bacterium
Lineage: Bacteria; Pseudomonadati; Verrucomicrobiota
Description: Verrucomicrobia bacterium 6S RNA
Rfam family: 6S / SsrS RNA
About the family: E. coli 6S RNA was the first non coding RNA to be sequenced, but its function was unknown until recently. It consists of 184 nucleotides that fold into an extended hairpin structure with a large single-stranded internal bulge.
Source: RNAcentral
UUGACCCUGCCAUGUUCGUGUUUAGAAACUAAGUCCUUGAACCGUAGUAAAUCCAUGACGGGACCUUGGCUCUGAAGGUGGCCGACAGGCCUUAACUGGAAGUCGAAAGCCGUCGAGCGGGUUCCACCUGUUUCUAACAAGUUCAAAGGAACUGUUACACACGGCAUUACGGCGGGGUUUUU